Molecule: non-coding RNA, 2047 nt
Organism: Vicugna pacos (alpaca)
Lineage: Eukaryota; Metazoa; Chordata; Mammalia; Artiodactyla; Camelidae
Source: RefSeq, a predicted model, not a curated record
AGUGGGACGUUUCGAGUGGGUUUAUGGUCGGAGGCCUGGGCGGGGCUGGCUAGGGUCACGCCCGGACUCUCGGCGUCGGUCGCUGGAAGGGCUCCCGGGCGCACACACUUCCCGGCGACGGAGGGGAGGGAGAGGCUCGGGUGGGAGCCGGAAACGGGAGUCGGGUUUUGCGCUCUGGCGAACGCAGAGCCUUCUCUAAGUCCUGUCAGAGGCAGAGAGGCUGGUCAAGAACCAGAGUUGGGACUGACGGUAAAACGGGAUGGUGAAAAACCUCAAGUCCGCAGGGGUCCUAGGGAAGUAGGGUCCUUGGAACUGCGGAGCAGGUAACGGGAAAGAACUGUAAUGCGCUGGGGUUUUGGUCGGGAGCUGGAGUUCGAAUGGAAGACGAAUAAUUUAGGAAUGUGAAAGAAUCUGUCAUUCUUCCGCAUACGUCCCGUUUUCUGUCUUGUAAAGAUACCACUAUUUUAGUGACUGUUUAAAGGAAGACUAGUUAGGAGGGUUUUUUUUGAAAGGCCAGCUAUUUCAGGUGUGUAAGAUAAUAUGAAAUCAAAAUGUCAGCAUUGGAGGAUGUUCAUUCAUUUGACAUUAGUGAAUUUCUCUGCUCUGUACAAUAGAACUUUAUGCUUGUUCUCUAUCUGAGCUGUUCAGUACAGUAGCUGCUAACCACAUGUGGCUAUUAAGUGCUUGAAAUGUGGUUAGUGCAACUGAGGGCUGAAGUUUUUAUUUAACUUAGAUAUAUAUUUAAAUAGUUGAAUGGUGACUGGUGGCUACAGUAUUGGACAGCACAGGUCUAGAUGCUGGGAACAGUGCAGGGAACAAACAGGCAAAUGUCUCUGGACUUGUAGGACUUACAUUCAUUUAAAGUAAAUCUGUUUUCUUUUGAUAAUUUUUUUAAAGCUUAGUAUUGCUGUUUAUUGGCAGGGGUGAUGAUGCAAGACAUAUCAUUGGAAGACCUAUCAGGACUUUUUGAAAAAACAGUUAAGAGAGCAAAUCUGGGGUUGUCCAACCUUAGGCUAAUUAAAAUGACUAAGAAGAGCCACUAAAAUUAAAGAUUUCUUUUUUUUUCCAGAAAUGAGUAACUUAUAUGUAUUGUUGCUAUGUUUUUGAAGACUGCCCUAUGGUUAUGUAACUUCUUAUACCCUGGUAUUGACCAUGAGGGAGUUGUGAGAGAAGUCCUCCUGGAUGUAAUAUUUCCUGGGGAAGAAAACAAGCUGCAUUUGUGAUUUUUAUUAGUUCACUGAACAUCCUUUUCUAAGGAUGAUUUUUCUGUGGAGUGGAAUGUUUAACUAGUGACUUGGACCUUUGCCCACUAGAAUACAAUUAUUGAGAAAACCAGAAGGGUUUUUAGAGUCCUGAUUCUUGAAUUAUAUUCGGGAAGGAUCAGCAAUUUAAAAAAAUAAUCUUAGCCUUCUGUUCUUGCUUCUAAUUCCCAUGCAUCUUGUAUGUAGAAUUUGAAUAGUCUUGUUGUGUACCCAUACAUCUGUAACUUGAAUGUAGCUUGAAAUGUAUUUGUGCAUUGACCUGAAAGUUUAUAUAUGAAUUUGUCAGCAGUUUCCAUGUUCCUACUCGAGUGUUUUUUUUUUUUAACUAUGGUGAAUCAUCAUCACUUUCUUUCUAUCUAAUGCUUGAAAAUAAUUUGUAAUUACAUUUCUAAAUACCUCUUUUAAGUGACUUUCCAAUGACAACCUAUUGGAAUAUAGCACCCCAUAACUGACUGAUGGGGGGUUAGUUGAUACCUGGAAUCUUCCACAUGCACUUAUUGUGUCUAGUGGUAUAAAACAUAAAAGGCAGCCUGGCCUUUAUCCUGGAAACGUACAGUUGAAAAGAAGACCUGACAUGGAUAAUUUCAUUAAUGAGGAUUUAAAGAGGCUCGUCAGGGAUCCAGAAGAUACAGUAAGAUGUGCAAAACUCUUUAAGAAUUGUGGAAACAGGUUUCCAGGCUCCUGCUUAUCAUCUUAUUUUGGAAGGAAUUUUAAUAUUCUGGAUAAUCAGACUUCUUUUUUCUAAAACUUACAAAUUACAAGAAUGAUCUGAUCUUACAGUCAAG